GGGGGGGGGGCAAGCGUUGUUCGGAAUUACUGGGCGUAAAGGGCGCGUAGGCGGUCCCGCAAGUCUUUCGUGAAAUCCCACAGCUCAACUGUGGAAUUGCGAGGGAAACUGCGGGACUUGAGUCCCGGGAGAGGAGAGUGGAAUUCCCAGUGUAGCGGUGAAAUGCGUAGAUAUUGGGAGGAACACCGGUGGCGAAGGCGGCUCUCUGGACCGGCACUGACGCUGAGGCGCGAAAGCUAGGGGAGCAAACGGGAUUAGAUACCCCGGUAGUCCUAGCCCUAAACGAUGAGCACUUGGUGUGGCGGGUAUCGACCCCUGCCGUGCCGAAGCUAACGCAUUAAGUGCUCCGCCUGGGGAGUACGGUCGCAAAGGCUGA
This 376-nucleotide ribosomal RNA is filed under the name uncultured organism. Its description in RNAcentral is "partial 16S ribosomal RNA". It matches the Rfam family "Bacterial small subunit ribosomal RNA", at positions 525 to 897 of the family's 1533-position model. The record is from RNAcentral.